CUGCUUAAUUGCGAUAACGAACGAGACCUUAACCUGUUAAAUAGCCAGGCUCGCUUUGGCGGGUCGCCGGCUUCUUAGAGGGACUAUCGGCUCAAGCCGAUGGAAGUUUGAGGCAAUAACAGGUCUGUGAUGCCCUUAGAUGUUCUGGGCCGCACGCGCGCUACACUGACAGAGCCAACGAGUUCUUUCCCUUGACCGAAAGGUCUGGGUAAUCUUGUUAAACUCUGUCGUGCUGGGGAUAGGGCAUUGCAAUC
RNAcentral lists this ribosomal RNA (254 nucleotides) under uncultured fungus. RNAcentral describes it as "partial small subunit ribosomal RNA". It matches the Rfam family "Eukaryotic small subunit ribosomal RNA", at positions 1315 to 1591 of the family's 1831-position model. The record is from RNAcentral. Lineage: Eukaryota; Fungi.